Arachis duranensis is the source of this 286-nucleotide RNA transcript. RefSeq lists it as uncharacterized. NCBI's taxonomy places the organism in Eukaryota, Viridiplantae, Streptophyta, Magnoliopsida, Fabales, Fabaceae. The record is from RefSeq and is a predicted model, not a curated record. The transcript has 3 exons.
CAGUGACAGCUUCUGUUACAUAUGAUCACAAAGCAAUUGUUGUUAAUGGGCAGAGAAAGAUUAUGUUUUCUGGUUCUAUAUACUACCCCAGAAGCACACCUCAGAUAUGGCCAGAGCUUAUUCAAAAAGUUAAAGAGGGAGGGUUGGAUGUUAUUCAAACCUAUGUGUUUUGGAAUGGCCAUGAACCUUCUCCAGGAAAAUAUUAUUUCGAGGAUAGGUACAAACUUAGUUAAGUUCAUCAAGGUAGUGCAGCAAGCUAGACUUUAUGUUAAUCUCCGAAAUGGUC